ACGGUAGCGAUUGGGUGAGAGAGAGGGAAAAGGAGAUCGGGGGGUUACUCCCGAAUUGCCACACGCAGCCUUCUCUCCCCCAGAAACGCCGCCGCCGCAGCCGCCGUCUCCUCAUCUCGUUUCUUUCAGCCGCCGCCAGAUCUGGGGAGCCACCGGGAGGAGAACAACCAGCCAGACGCCACCCCCGUCGACCUAACCCGCAUCUCCCUCGCGCCCAUCGUCCCCUCUUGGCGCCCCCGCCUCUCCUCUCCCCCAUUCUCCUGCCGCAUCCCAUCCCCUGCUCUGCCCUUGCUCCUCCGCCGUUCGAGUUGAGUCGUUGCUGCAGAGAGCGCCGCCUUCACUCUCCCAGGCCUUCUCCCCAUCCGCGACGUCGGCACACGGUGCGGGCAAGCUGUGGCGUGUCGUCGCCGUGCUGGGUUGGCCGGCCGGUGCCGCGCGGAUCCGGUUGGACGAGGUCGUUGGCGACCUGCCGCGGGAGGGGGACAGCGGGAUCUGCGCCAGGAGGUCCAGGGCACGUUGCUGCCGCUCGUGCAGCAGAACGACGGCCUCACCGACGCGUCCGGGGAGAACUGCGUUGGCCUGGUCUUGUAAUGGGCAGGUGAAGUCAUUUUUAUGGGAUGCAAUAGUUCUUCGUCCACUUCCACUGUCCCAAAAACAGUACGCCCCCAUCUUUGGUGUGGUUUAUGCAUUAUUAUCAUGCUGAAGUCAACAGUUCUCACUUUUGUUGAAGUCAACAGCUCUCAGUUUUGCUGAUUUGGUGUGAUGGAAUGUAAAUAUCGAACAGCAGCAGCCCGCACCCGAGGUGCAGAGCAGCUAGAACCAGUGAUAAUCGUGAGAUCCUGCGGACAACGAUGGAGCUUCUUAAUCAGCUGGAUGGAUUUUAUAAGCUUAGCAAGAUUUUUGGAAGGUUGAAGGUGGAAUCGAACUCCGAGCUCGAGGUUGCGCUGGUGCAGUGGUGGCUGCGAUCGGGCCCGAUCUAGGAAAAAUCUUCCUCGUUUUUGGUCUGCAUGGCGAUGAUCUGUUUCUUCAGGAUCCGCUCGUUGCCAGAGCUGGCUCGGGACGCCUCCUAGACGACGACACAAGCUUGAAGCGAGCGGAACACUGAAGGAGGAUCUCGGGGAUGAAGGAAGCGUCAGCGACGACCUCAGGCGAGAGGUAAUACUAGAGCUGGCGUGGGAACAUCAGUAAGGGCUUGGAGCCUGUCAAAGAGGAGGCAAAGAGGACACUGCUGAUGAAACAUGAGGCCGAGACAAAAACAAAUGCCUAUUGGCUCAGUUUGCUAACCCAUAUGCAGUCUGCAUUCGUGCCGAGAAAGGUAUUCUAUAUGUGAGGCUUAUAAGUGCAUAUUCUAUGGGAAACUAGAACAGUAAUAAACCAACUCUCCAAGCCCUGGUUUCAUGGACACUCCAUGUCCAUUGUCCGUGUGCCACUUCUACCGUGGUGAACUAUACGUAGUUACUCUGACUAGAUUUUCUUGAUGCAAGUUUUCUAGACGAACUUUUGAAAGCCUGCUGACCCACGACCAUCUCGAUGAUAGUUAUGAUCACGUAAUUCUGGUUUGAGAAGUUUGUUGUUAUAUCAAAAAGUUCCAGGGGUUGCCAACGAUCUUUUUUGAAUGAUCAUGUGAAAUGC
Triticum aestivum (bread wheat) is the source of this 1632-nucleotide long non-coding RNA. RefSeq lists it as uncharacterized. The record is from RefSeq and is a predicted model, not a curated record. Lineage: Eukaryota; Viridiplantae; Streptophyta; Magnoliopsida; Poales; Poaceae. The transcript has 5 exons.